This 482-nucleotide ribosomal RNA is filed under the name uncultured bacterium. RNAcentral describes it as "bacterial SSU rRNA". It matches the Rfam family "Bacterial small subunit ribosomal RNA", at positions 39 to 507 of the family's 1533-position model. The record is from RNAcentral.
GCUACAGGCUUAACACAUGCAAGUCGGCGGGGUAACAUCUGGUAGAGCUUGCUCUUCCAGGAUGACGACCGGCGCACGGGUGAGUAACGCGUAUCCAACCUGGCCCAUACCACGGGAUAGCCCGUCGAAAGGCGGAUUAAUACCGUAUGCUGUCAUUAAGAUGCAUAUAUUGAUGACGAAAGGACUGGCGGUAUGGGAUGGGGAUGCGUCUGAUUAGCUUGUUGGCGGGGUAACGGCCCACCAAGGCGACGAUCAGUAGGGGUUCUGAGAGGAAGGUCCCCCACAUUGGAACUGAGACACGGUCCAAACUCCUACGGGAGGCAGCAGUGAGGAAUAUUGGUCAAUGGGCGCAAGCCUGAACCAGCCAAGUAGCGUGAGGGAUGACUGCCCUACGGGUUGUAAACCUCUUUUGUUUGGGAAUAAAGUGCGGGACGUGUCCCGCAUUGCAUGUACCAUUUGAAUAAGGACCGGCUAAUUCCGUG